RNAcentral lists this ribosomal RNA (253 nucleotides) under uncultured bacterium. RNAcentral's name for it is "partial 16S ribosomal RNA". It matches the Rfam family "Bacterial small subunit ribosomal RNA", at positions 524 to 776 of the family's 1533-position model. The record is from RNAcentral.
AACGUAGGUUCCGAGCGUUAUCCGGAUUUACUGGGCGUAAAGCGCGCGUAGGCGGACCUGCAAGUCGGGGGUGAAAGCCCGAGGCUCAACCUCGGAACUGCCUUCGAUACUGCGGGUCUCGAGUCCGGGAGAGGUGAGUGGAAUUCCUAGUGUAGAGGUGAAAUUCGUAGAUAUUAGGAAGAACACCAGUGGCGAAGGCGGCUCACUGGCCCGGUACUGACGCUGAGGCGCGAAAGCGUGGGGAGCAAACAGG